AUUUUCCACAAUGGGGGCAACCCUGAUGGAGCAACACCGCGUGCAGGAUAAGGCCUUAGGGUUGUAAAGCUCUUUUACCCGGGAUGAUAAUGACAGUACCGGGAGAAUAAGCCCCGGCUAACUCCGUGCCAGCAGCCGCGGUAAUACGGAGGGGGCUAGCGUUGUUCGGAAUUACUGGGCGUAAAGCGCACGUAGGCGGCGAUUUAAGUCAGAGGUGAAAGCCCGGGGCUCAACCCCGGAAUAGCCUUUGAGACUGGAUUGCUUGAACAUCGGAGAGGUGAGUGGAAUUCCGAGUGUAGAGGUGAAAUUCGUAGAUAUUCGGAAGAACACCAGUGGCGAAGGCGGCUCACUGGACGAUUGUUGACGCUGAGGUGCGAAAGCGUGGGGAGCAA
This 392-nucleotide ribosomal RNA is filed under the name uncultured bacterium. RNAcentral describes it as "bacterial SSU rRNA". It matches the Rfam family "Bacterial small subunit ribosomal RNA", at positions 361 to 771 of the family's 1533-position model. The record is from RNAcentral.